GGCUGUUCGCCAUUUAAAGCGGUACGUGAGUUGGGUUCAGAACGUCGUGAGACAGUUCGGUCCCUAUCUGCCGUGGGUGUAGGAAUAUUGACAGGAUCUGUCCCUAGUACGAGAGGACCGGGAUGGACGUAUCUCUGGUGGACCUGUUGUGGCGCCAGCCGCAUAGCAGGGUAGCUAUAUACGGAACGGAUAACCGCUGAAGGCAUCUAAGCGGGAAACCGACCUGAAAACGAGUAUUCCCUGAGAGUCGUGGGAGACCACCACGUUGAUAGGCCGGGUGUGGAAGUGCGGCAACGCAUGGAGCUUACCGGUACUAAUAACUCGAUCGGCUUGAAUCAUUCUCAUU
This 346-nucleotide ribosomal RNA is filed under the name Nitratireductor sp. Its description in RNAcentral is "bacterial LSU rRNA". It matches the Rfam family "Bacterial large subunit ribosomal RNA", at positions 2575 to 2925 of the family's 2925-position model. The record is from RNAcentral. Lineage: Bacteria; Pseudomonadati; Pseudomonadota; Alphaproteobacteria; Hyphomicrobiales; Phyllobacteriaceae.